UACGAAGGGGCUAGCGUUGCUCGGAAUCACUGGGCGUAAAGCGCACGUAGGCGGACUCUUAAGUCGGGGGUGAAAUCCUGGAGCUCAACUCCAGAACUGCCUUCGAUACUGAGAGUCUUGAGUCCGGGAGAGGUGAGUGGAACUGCGAGUGUAGAGGUGAAAUUCGUAGAUAUUCGCAAGAACACCAGUGCGAAGGCGGCUCAGCCUGCCGUACCGACAGCCGUACGAGGUGAGUGAA
This 238-nucleotide ribosomal RNA is filed under the name uncultured bacterium. RNAcentral's name for it is "partial 16S ribosomal RNA". It matches the Rfam family "Bacterial small subunit ribosomal RNA", at positions 524 to 767 of the family's 1533-position model. The record is from RNAcentral.